Molecule: ribosomal RNA, 468 nt
Filed under: uncultured bacterium
Lineage: Bacteria
Description: partial 16S ribosomal RNA
Rfam family: Bacterial small subunit ribosomal RNA
Source: RNAcentral
GACGAACGCUGGCGGCGUGCUUAACACAUGCAAGUCGAACGGAAAGGCCCUGCUUUUGUGGGGUGCUCGAGUGGCGAACGGGUGAGUAACACGUGAGUAACCUGCCCUUGACUUUGGGAUAACUUCACGAAACUGGGGCUAAUACCGGAUAGGAGCUCCUCCUGCAUGGAGGGGGGUGGAAAGUUUCGGCGGGUGUGGCUGGACUCGCGGCUUAUCAGCUGGUUGGUGGGGGAGGGGUUUACCAAGGCUUGGACGGGUCGCCGGCCUGCGAGGGGGAACGGCGGCAGUGGGGCUGGGGGAGGGCGCAGUGGGCGACGGGGGGCAACAGGGGGGAAUCUUGCACAAUCGGCGGGAGCGUGUGGAGGCGGCGCCGGGUGGGGGAUGACGGCUUUCGGGUUGUGAACCGCAGUCGGCUGUGACGAAGCGGGUGUGACGGUAGUGGGUAAAGAAGCACCGGCUAACUACGUG